AUGUGCACGUGGCCGACUCUGAAGACACAGUACUGUGUAUAAUAAGACUCCGUCCGCCUUUUCUUCUACGUUCAUGAUGUAAGCAAAAAAC
Aricia agestis (brown argus) is the source of this 91-nucleotide long non-coding RNA. RefSeq lists it as uncharacterized. The transcript has 3 exons. Lineage: Eukaryota; Metazoa; Arthropoda; Insecta; Lepidoptera; Lycaenidae. The record is from RefSeq and is a predicted model, not a curated record.